RNAcentral lists this microRNA precursor (165 nucleotides) under Oryza brachyantha (malo sina). RNAcentral describes it as "MIR812 microRNA precursor family". It matches the Rfam family "MIR812 microRNA precursor family", at positions 27 to 191 of the family's 205-position model. The record is from Rfam by way of RNAcentral. Lineage: Eukaryota; Viridiplantae; Streptophyta; Magnoliopsida; Poales; Poaceae.
UACAAUGUUUGAUUUUUUGUCUUAUUUAAAAAAAAUUAUGAUUAAUAAUUUUAUUUUAUUAGAUGAUAAAAUAUAAAUAGUACUUUAUGUGUGACUAAUUUUUUUAAAAUUUCUUAAAAAUUUUUCAAAUAAGACGGAUGAUCACACGCUCGACAUAAAAAACCA